Non-coding RNA from Chinchilla lanigera (long-tailed chinchilla), 710 nucleotides. Lineage: Eukaryota; Metazoa; Chordata; Mammalia; Rodentia; Chinchillidae. The record is from the annotation of a RefSeq genome assembly.
UCUCAAGAUCUUCUCUUCAGGUCUGAGAUAAAAGCUCAGCUUUAACCUUGAUUCCACUGAUCAGGAGUCCUCAGUUCAGCUUCACACAAUGAGGAUCUCUGCUCAUCUGCUGGGGCUACUAAUGCUCUUCAUCCCUGGAUCCACAGGGGAUGUUGUGAUGACCCAGAGUCCACUCCCCUUGCCCAUCACCCCUGGAGAGUCCACUUCCAUCUCCUGCAGGUCCAGCCAGAGCCUCCUGCAUAGCAAUGGAUAUACCUAUUUGUUUUGGUUCCUGCAAAAGCCAGGCCAGUCUCCAAGACGCUUGAUCUAUUUGGUUUCACACCGAGACUCUGGGGUCCCAGAGAGGUUCAGUGGCAGUGGGUCAGGGACAGAUUUCACCCUGAAAAUCAGCAGGGUGGAGGCUGAGGAUGCUGGAGUUUAUUACUGCAUGCAAGCUACACAUGUUCCUCCCACAGUGAUACAGCCCCGAACAUAAACCUCUCUGUGUGUUGUGGCCCAGCUGCCUGUGUGGAUUGCUCAUGUGGGGAGGAACACGGCAGUGCCUCAGAGUGUGUGUGAAACAGGAAGCCGAUAGGCAACUCAGAACAAGAACUUGCAGCUGAGGAGUUCCAUGGAUGGCUCAGCUACACUCAGGCAAACCCCACAAAGUCCUGUCACCUGCAGCAUUCUUGGCAUGGUAUAUCAGGCAGAAAAAGAGUUAUGAUACAAGU